Phthorimaea operculella (potato tuberworm) is the source of this 72-nucleotide non-coding RNA. The record is from the annotation of a GenBank genome assembly. NCBI's taxonomy places the organism in Eukaryota, Metazoa, Arthropoda, Insecta, Lepidoptera, Gelechiidae.
GCGCGGGUGGCUUAGAUGGCAGAGCAGUGGGACGGUACCCCAUGGUACCGGGUUCAAGUCCCGGCCGGCACA